GCCGCCCAUCCAGUAUGGUAAAUAAGAUCCUCGGCUUGUAACCGAGUGGAUUCGGGUUCGAAUCCCGAGCAAGGCU
This is a non-coding RNA of Trichonephila clavipes, 76 nucleotides long. The record is from the annotation of a GenBank genome assembly. Lineage: Eukaryota; Metazoa; Arthropoda; Arachnida; Araneae; Nephilidae.